UCAUUCCAAGCAGAUGUGGGUGAGAGAUCACAGUCGCUCGUACAGAUUUAGGGCAAAGGUCACUGUUAACUCUCUGCAGAUUCUCAUGGGCUUCCCGGUCCCUCUUUUUGGGACACGCCACCUCAGAAGUUGGCUCCCAUGUUAGCCUCUCUCGUCUGUUGGGAACCUGCCUCCUGCGUGGGUCACAUUGUCCCUGCAAAGCUUGUAUCCCACUAACAAGCACAGAGGCUGGGCAGCCUACGUGGAGGCUGCGUGUGAGGGAACCGUUUCCAGGUGGCUGCAUGAGAAGACCAAGAGGCAUGGCCUUAAGUCACUCCUACAGAAUGGCCCAACGUUUGCACAGAACCCGUGUACGUCCUGUGCGUACUGGAUAAUGUGAUAUUUGACACAAGUAGGCAGACCUACGGGGACAAUAACAAGGGACUCAGUUCGGGGGUCUUUUUCUCGAAUAUCUUCUACCCAGGGUUAGCAGGAUCUAUGCACGAGGAAGGAACCCCUGGGCAUUUAAGCUCAGUGAUAGCCUGGAAAAAGGAGGAAGGAAGAGGAAGAUGGCAGAGCAGGGGGGAGGGGAAGAAGAGAGAGGAGGGAAUGCGUAGUAGAAGCCACCCAGGCCAGGGUUGGGCUCAGAACUCCGAUCUGGACCAAGAGGCCCAGGUGUCCUUGCUGCCAGUGCCCCUCCUGCCUCUGUUUGGGCUCCUCCACUUAGUGACACUCCCUACCUCCUGCUCAACUGGGCCCCAUGUUGUUUCUCUAAAGCCACACCAGCAAGCCUGACUUGGCUACUCCGUGGGAUUCACUACCUGGACCUCGCCUAUGGGGGGGUGCUAAAUCCACUUGGAUCAUCUAGCUACUGUGUGAGUGGAUUUCAAGGUUUCUAUACAUGGCACACCCUGGCCCCAUUCCCAGGAAGAAAGCCACCCUCUGAUCCAGAUCUCCGAGACCAGCAGGGUUAUGCUGCUCCUAUCGCACACAGUAGGUUCCUAAUAAACGUGAGCCGGCAAACA
Molecule: long non-coding RNA, 1004 nt
Organism: Myodes glareolus (Bank vole)
Lineage: Eukaryota; Metazoa; Chordata; Mammalia; Rodentia; Cricetidae
Source: RefSeq, a predicted model, not a curated record